GAUGAACGCUGGCGGCGUGCUUAACACAUGCAAGUCGAACGAGAAUCAACGGAUUGAGGAUUCGUCCAAGUGAAGUUGAGGAAAGUGGCGGACGGGUGAGUAACGCGUGAGGAACCUGCCUCGGAGUGGGGAAUAACAGUUGGAAACAGCUGCUAAUACCGCAUAAUGCAACGGAAUCGCAUGACUCUGUUGCCAAAGAUUUAUCGCUCUGAGAUGGCCUCGCAUCUGAUUAGCUAGUUGGGGGUGUAAUGGACCACCAAGGCGACGAUCAGUAGCUGGUUUGAGAGGAUGAUCAGCCACAAUGGGACUGAGACACGGCCCAU
This 323-nucleotide ribosomal RNA is filed under the name uncultured bacterium. RNAcentral's name for it is "bacterial SSU rRNA". It matches the Rfam family "Bacterial small subunit ribosomal RNA", at positions 28 to 334 of the family's 1533-position model. The record is from RNAcentral.